RNAcentral lists this transfer RNA (73 nucleotides) under Loxodonta africana (African savanna elephant). It matches the Rfam family "tRNA". From Rfam's summary of the family: Transfer RNA (tRNA) molecules are approximately 80 nucleotides in length. Their secondary structure includes four short double-helical elements and three loops (D, anti-codon, and T loops). The record is from Rfam by way of RNAcentral. Lineage: Eukaryota; Metazoa; Chordata; Mammalia; Proboscidea; Elephantidae.
CCAUAGGUAGUAUACAUGGUUAACAUGUUUGGCUGUUAACCAAAAGGCUGUCAGUUUGAGUCCACCCAGUGGU